UACAGAGGUCCCAAGCGUUGUUCGGAUUCACUGGGCGUAAAGGGUGCGCAGGUGGGUUUGCAAGUUUGAUGUGAAAGCCCCGGGCUUAACCCGGGAAUGGCAUUGAAUACUGCAGAUCUGGAGGAUUGGAGGGGGACUGGAAUUCUUGGUGUAGCAGUGAAAUGCGUAGAUAUCAAGAGGAACACCAGUGGCGAAGGCGAGUCCCUGGACAAUACCUGACACUGAGGCACGAAAGCUAGGGGAGCAAACAGGG
This 253-nucleotide ribosomal RNA is filed under the name uncultured bacterium. Its description in RNAcentral is "partial 16S ribosomal RNA". It matches the Rfam family "Bacterial small subunit ribosomal RNA", at positions 524 to 777 of the family's 1533-position model. The record is from RNAcentral.